CUAAUCUAAAUCUCCUCUUUUUUUCAGUUUAAAACCGUUCUUCCUCAUUGUAUCAUUCAUGUUGAAAUUUCCACUGUGGAUCACUGAUGCAUCUCUCAGCCAAGGGAGACAGGAGCACAGCAGCAGUACUAACCACCAGGCAGCUUUCUCCUGGGCCACCAGAAGCCGAGAUGCCCAUAGGGUUACCAGGAAUGGUGGAUGGCCAGUUGGGUGGCCACCACUCCUAACACCCUGUGGAAUGGCACUGUAGGAUGGGGCCAAGAGAGCUGCUGCCAGCUCAACACCUCACUUUAUUUCUACAUCAACAUCAUGACCCGUGGCAACCCACUCUGGAUUCCUCUAUGGAGCAACCGACAACCCACAUGCCUGACUGCGUACUGACUGUGUGGAUUAAUCCUCUGGAAAGGAAGGGGCCAAGCCUGUAUUUUAGCAGACUGAAGGAAGAAUUGGAGCGUCAGUCCCUAAAAAAGAAGAUCCCCAAGGCACUGCUAUGUGUGGGAAUAAGGGUGUCCAGCUGUAUCACUGACACAGGGAGAUGGUGAUGUGGUUGCAAAGGAUGGGAUCCUCACAACCUCCGGAACUUGUUCUCGCCACCGUCAGUGUCCCUGCAGACAAAGGUCAGGAACUGGCUCCACAGAGCCAUAAAGUGCAUUUCACAAGCAGGAGGAGCCUGGGACAUGUAUGUCCUCAGCAUUUCUGUCACCCACGGACGUGGUGGCCUCCCUCAGCAGCACGGAGGUGGGCAGCCAGGGCUCCUGCUCCGUGGCUGGCUGUGCACAGAGAGCACCAGAGCACACAGCAUUAUUUAUUUGUGGGGCUAUUGCAAACAUGGGUCACCUUUGAGUGUUUCUUAAUAUAACUUUUUUCUGUGUUCAUUGGUUUACCCUUAAAACUAACUGGGAAUCAUUUUCAGUUAAAAAAGUAUAUGUGUACCUAAGUCCCUUAAGGAGACAGCACUCAGCCUGCCUUCUAAAAAAUGCUGGUUUAGAAAUUACUGUCCAGCCUUAAACUCACUUUUAACCU
Calidris pugnax (ruff) is the source of this 1023-nucleotide long non-coding RNA. RefSeq lists it as uncharacterized. NCBI's taxonomy places the organism in Eukaryota, Metazoa, Chordata, Aves, Charadriiformes, Scolopacidae. The record is from RefSeq and is a predicted model, not a curated record. The transcript is spliced from 3 exons.